This 483-nucleotide ribosomal RNA is filed under the name uncultured bacterium. RNAcentral describes it as "partial 16S ribosomal RNA". It matches the Rfam family "Bacterial small subunit ribosomal RNA", at positions 28 to 523 of the family's 1533-position model. The record is from RNAcentral.
GACGAACGCUGGCGGCGUGCUUAACACAUGCAAGUCGAACGGUGAAAGCGGAGCUUGCUCCGCUGGAUCAGUGGCGAACGGGUGAGUAACACGUGGGCAACCUGCACCUCACUUCGGGAUAACUCCGGGAAACCGGGGCUAAUACCGGAUAUGACCUCCUUGGGCAUCCUUGGAGGUGGAAAGUUUUUCGGUGUGGGAUGGGCCCGCGGCCUAUCAGCUUGUUGGUGAGGUAGUGGCUCACCAAGGCGACGACGGGUAGCCGGCCUGGGAGGGCGACCCGCCACGCUGGGACUGGGACACGGCCCAGACUCCUACGGGAGGCAGCAGUGGGGAAUAUUGCGCAAUGGGCGAAAGCCUGAUGCAGCGACGCCGUGUGAGGGAUGAAGGUCUUCGGAUUGUAAACCUCUUUCAGUAGGGACGAAGCGAAAGUGACGGUACCUAAAGAAGAAGCACCGGCUAACUACGUGCCAGCCGCCGCCGUAA